GUCCUUGUGGCACGAUGGCUAAGUGUUCAACUGCUAACUGAAAGGUUGGUGGUUCAAACCCACCCAGUGGUU
Molecule: transfer RNA, 72 nt
Filed under: Loxodonta africana (African savanna elephant)
Lineage: Eukaryota; Metazoa; Chordata; Mammalia; Proboscidea; Elephantidae
Rfam family: tRNA
About the family: Transfer RNA (tRNA) molecules are approximately 80 nucleotides in length. Their secondary structure includes four short double-helical elements and three loops (D, anti-codon, and T loops).
Source: Rfam by way of RNAcentral